This 59-nucleotide transfer RNA is filed under the name Filchneria songi. Its description in RNAcentral is "tRNA-Tyr". Lineage: Eukaryota; Metazoa; Arthropoda; Insecta; Plecoptera; Perlodidae. The record is from RNAcentral.
GGCUGAGGUUUAGGCAAUAGAUUGUAAAUCUAUUUAGGAGGGGGACCCCUCUUCUACCA